Molecule: ribosomal RNA, 852 nt
Filed under: Triticum aestivum (bread wheat)
Lineage: Eukaryota; Viridiplantae; Streptophyta; Magnoliopsida; Poales; Poaceae
Description: partial small subunit ribosomal RNA
Source: RNAcentral
AUGUCUGAAUUGGAAAGGAUAGUUGAAGAUCUAGGCUAUGAGAUGGCAGGUAGAUUGGAUGUAUAUUGGUGUUUGCCAGGGUUGCAAAUUAAGACUGGUGGUCUUAGGAAAAUGAAUUCCCAGGAAGCUUGUGACAAUAUUAGUGCUUGUGUAGUUUUUGGACAUAAAGAAAUUCAGUUAUUCCUUGACCAUGAUGAGAGCUACAGGAGUAUCGAAUGGGAUGAUGUUGUGGUCUUUCCUGUCAAUGAUUUACCUCAUGUGAUCAGUCCUAGGAAAGUAAAAGAGGAGAAAUUUGCAGAGAGAAUGUCUGAACAAAAUAUGGCAGAGGAGCAAGGUGAUGACAAUGCAGAGGAGGCUGGGCAGAACAUGGAAGAGGGGCAAGGUGAUGAGCAAUUCAAUGAGGAAGAAAUUGAGCAGUAUAUGGCAGAUGCUGAGGAAGAGGAUGAGGCUGAUGUGGAAGAGGAACAGGAGGAAGAUGUUGUGGAAGAGGAACAUGAUGAAUAUGCACAGUCAGAUGUAGAUGAUGGCAGUCUUUCUCAUGCUGGAAGAGGAGUUAGUGAUUCAGAAAAUGGGGAUGAAAUUGUGGACAGUGAUUAUGUUAUAUCUGAUGGAGAUGUAGAUCUUCUAGAAGAUCAAAUAGAAGAGGUGGUAAUAGAUGUAAAAGGAAAGAAAGCUGCAGAUAUUGGAGCUUCUUCUGAUGAGGAAGAUCUUCAGAUGCCAGAUUCUGAUGAGGAUGAGCUGAAGCACAACUUCAAUACAUUCAGGCCAGAAGAUAUGCAUGAUCCUGUGUUCAAAGUUGGACAGUUAUUCCAGUCACCAGAGAUGUUAAGGAAAGCCAUUAGGAAUAUUUAA